CCCUAUACGGGGCGCCCGUGUGGGGCCAGU
RNAcentral lists this small RNA (30 nucleotides) under Bombyx mori (domestic silkworm). Its description in RNAcentral is "ovarian small RNA-13720". The record is from RNAcentral. Lineage: Eukaryota; Metazoa; Arthropoda; Insecta; Lepidoptera; Bombycidae.